Molecule: small nuclear RNA, 19 nt
Filed under: Arabidopsis thaliana (thale cress)
Lineage: Eukaryota; Viridiplantae; Streptophyta; Magnoliopsida; Brassicales; Brassicaceae
Description: snRNA_13538
Source: RNAcentral
CGUCGCUGCCGUGAUCGUG